Transfer RNA from Ovis aries (sheep), 73 nucleotides. It matches the Rfam family "tRNA". Rfam says of the family: Transfer RNA (tRNA) molecules are approximately 80 nucleotides in length. Their secondary structure includes four short double-helical elements and three loops (D, anti-codon, and T loops). NCBI's taxonomy places the organism in Eukaryota, Metazoa, Chordata, Mammalia, Artiodactyla, Bovidae. The record is from Rfam.
UCCUUGGCAGUCCAGUGGUUAAGACUCUGUGCUUCCAAUGCAGGGCACGCAGGUUCAAUCUCUGCUUGGGGAA